CCUACGGGAGGCAGCAGUGGGGAAUAUUGCACAAUGGGCGAAAGCCUGAUGCAGCGACGCCGCGUGAGGGAUGACGGCCUUCGGGUUGUAAACCUCUUUCAGUAGGGAAGAAGCGAAAGUGACGGUACCUGCAGAAGAAGCGCCGGCUAACUACGUGCCAGUAGCCGCGGUAAUACGUAGGGCGCAAGCGUUAUCCGGAAUUAUUGGGCGUAAAGAGCUCGUAGGCGGUUUGUCGCGUCUGCCGUGAAAGUCCGGGGCUCAACUCCGGAUCUGCGGUGGGUACGGGCAGACUAGAGUGAUGUAGGGGAGACUGGAAUUCCUGGUGUAGCGGUGAAAUGCGCAGAUAUCAGGAGGAACACCGAUGGCGAAGGCAGGUCUCUGGGCAUUAACUGACGCUGAGGAGCGAAAGCAUGGGGAGCGAACAGGAUUAGAUACCCUGGUAGUCCAUGCCGUAAACGUUGGGCACUAGGUGUGGGGGACAUUCCACGUUUUCCGCGCCGUAGCUAACGCAUUAAGUGCCCCGCCUGGGGAGUACGGCCGCAAGGCUAAAACUCAAAUGAAUUGACGG
Molecule: ribosomal RNA, 568 nt
Filed under: uncultured bacterium
Lineage: Bacteria
Description: bacterial SSU rRNA
Rfam family: Bacterial small subunit ribosomal RNA
Source: RNAcentral